Molecule: long non-coding RNA, 2024 nt
Organism: Gallus gallus (chicken)
Lineage: Eukaryota; Metazoa; Chordata; Aves; Galliformes; Phasianidae
Source: Ensembl
AAGAGGCUGCUCUCAGUGUCACACUGCAACAGCAUGUGGCCCAGAAGGCUGAAGAGAAAGAAUAAAAGAAUUAUUUUAAUAACGUCUUAGGCCCCAGAUGGAAGCUAUAUUGGUUUGCAAACAAGAUUGGGUUUGUUUGGAUAAAGGUGAUAAGUUCAAGGAUGUUUCAUGGGGUACUUGUCAACAUCAGUCUGCCUCAUCUGAAUAUCUCCAAUACAUUGACCUCUAUGAGAUCAUCAAAUGGCACUGAAGUAUUAUAGCAGAAGAACAAGAAAGCUUGUAUCAUAUAGAAGGCAUUAUGUUGGAAAUGAGCAAAUGCAUUUCAUAGAAUCACAGAAUCAGAAUAUCCUGAAUUGGAAGGCACAUACAAGGAGUCCACCAUAUCUAAGUAUGGCAUUUUUGUGAAAAGAGCAAUUUGUGUUGCUGCAGUUGUUUGAAAUAAAAGCACAAGUGCUGCAGUUAAGGAUGUGGAUCCAACUUCUGAGAACUCAGCAGGCUUUCUGCAUCACUUGGUAAUAGGCAGCUUCAGCCUCUGCAAGCUGACAAGUCAAAAAACAAGUUACUCCUUUCCAGAGGAGGUUCAUCAUCUUAGCUCUACCUAAUAGCAGUUGUUUAAGAAAUGGUGUAGUGUUUUCAAAUCAGCAGCUGAAACAUUGCAAUGGACAGCAUACUCUAAUGGACAAGGAUAGAGCUGUGCUGGUGCACCAAACCAUGAUGCAUUGCAGGUCAGCAGUUGCCAUGCAAACAGCUCAGGAUAGUGGCAACAGUCAUCCUUGUCAGUCCAAGAGGUGUCAACUGGAGAAGCUAUGGCGAGCCAGGCAGUCUGAAAGGGAAAAUGUUGUGAAGUUUUGAGAAUGAAAGAAGAUUAAAACAAACACAUAAACAAAUAAAUAACAUCAGAAGUCUUUGCAAUAUGAUUGUGAUUGAAUUAAGCUGAGAAGGGGUAAGACCCAAUCACGUUGCAUCAUAUUACAGUACACAGAAGUUGAGGGCUAUUCUGUCCAUGCGAAGUAGACAGGAACUUGGCUUUUAUGGCAUCACCUAGAUGGGUUUUACACAGACAGAGAUUAAGAAUUUUGCCUGUUUUGAUGAAUAAUGUAGUGAAUCAUUUUUCUUACAAAAUAUUUUGACAGUAAGUGAAAUCUGGAGAUAUAUGUUAGAACAUAACUGAAGCUGAAAUGAAUCUAAGAACUGGAAGAAGUAUGCAGCUUUAGAAGCUUUAAACAAUUACAUGACUGUAGGGAACAUACUGUCCAUGAAGACCUAAUGAGCAUUAUUCUUAAUGGAGACCCUGGAGUAAUUCGAGGCCAGGCUGGACUGGGCUCUGGGAAAACUCAUCCAGCUGUACGUGUCCCUGAUUGUUGCUGGGAAGUUGGACUAGAUGGUCUUUAAGGGACCCUUCCAAUUCAAAAGGUUCUAUGAUUCUUUGAUUCUGUUAGACCUGCCUUCUCCUUCAGAAUUCUAAUCACUCUGCUGCCAAUCUCUAACUGAAAGCACAACAGAAGUACGCAUUUAUUUACCAAAGAUGAACAUUCAGUGAGUUAGCUGGGUACUAUUGUGGGGAAAGAAAAGAUGUUUUUUGCAUAACAGUAAGAUGACUCCAGAGAGGUCCAAAGAGGCGCCACAGAGCUCCGAUGCAAGAUACAUUCCUGCUUGCAGAAUAGAAGAUCUGCAUUUUUGAGUAACAUCAGCAGCUGUACUGGUACAAACUGGUUCUAUGGUUUUGAAUGAUAGCCAGAGGGGAAGGUUAACUAUGAGACGUUAUCCCAGCAUGCCACAGUAAGUAAAAACUAAACUAGAAUAUGAGGAGAUCAAGGAGGGAAUAACCAAGAAGUAAAAAGGGGCAGAAAGGCAAUUAGAAAUGGUGGAUAGGCUGUAAACCCUGGAGUAUGUGACCAAUGGGGAAACGAGAGUGAAUUUAAGCCAGGAAGCCGGAAAUAUAAACUGCUGGGUCUCUCUGGUCCUACACACCUUUUAUCAUUGUUGCCCUCUCUUGCAAAAGCAUGAAAUAAAUUAUGAUUCAU